Long non-coding RNA from Daphnia magna, 677 nucleotides. RefSeq lists it as uncharacterized. The record is from RefSeq and is a predicted model, not a curated record. The transcript is spliced from 3 exons. Lineage: Eukaryota; Metazoa; Arthropoda; Branchiopoda; Diplostraca; Daphniidae.
UAACUAUUGGUGGCAUUACUAGGUAGUAUUACCUAGUAUUACCUAGUUACCUAGUAAUACCUAGUUUUUUUUUCACUACUUUACCUAGUUCUACUUUACCUAGUUUCUCUCCGGGCUACUUUAGUAAUAGUAAAACCUAGUUUAAAAAAAAAAUACCUAGUAAUAAGAAAAACAUUACCUAGGUAAUUUGACCUUUUUUUUACACUGUUGUCAAAUGAUUAAAAACUCAAAAUUUCUGUUAAUUGUAAUUUGUCGCUUAUCGCUAUUCAUUUGUUUCCUUUUUUCCCUUUCCCUGACAGAGCCUGACGCCUGACUGAGUUAGUCUAUCAGUCUAUCUACUGUUUAUUGGAAAUUACAUGCAAUUCUGCACCUGAAUAACUCAAAGUUUAAGGACUUUUUUAGUUUGUCUAGCAUUUUUUCAUUGGAAUUGUCACAUCCUAAAGUGAGUACACUUCAUUUCACUUGCAACUGUUGCAAGCUGCACCUGAAUAACUGACGGCCUGGUUAAGCCAGCCCAUCUACUUUUGAUUGACAAUUGUCACAUCUACUUCAUUUCACAUGUUUCUUCCGUUUUGCUUGAAUCUGAAACUCUGUGCCGGUUUAACAGAAAUUUAGAUUCAUAACUUAUUCAAAACUCAAGUUGUAGAAAAAAUACAGAAAGAAUAAUCAAAGAAUCA